AUAACUCCUCAUACCGUCAACUCUCAUUAUUUCUUAAUUAACAUUUUUUAUAUUUUUUGAUACUUUAGAAUUUUUAAGGAAUUCAUCGAUGUCAGCAGAUCUCAUUUUUCAAUGAAAGUUUUAAUAUUAGAGUGAUUACUAUUAUUUAGAAUCAACGAAGAUGAAUGAUAACUGCUUAAAUAAAAUUUGAUAUGUUUCAUACUUGUAAGACUCAUUUUAACUUAUUGGAGACCACGCAUUCAGGAAGAUGUCUAGAUUUGAAGCAACUGAAUAAGAAUUGAAAUAAUUUUAUUUUGAAAUUCUUUGAGCGUUAUCUAUCUGGAUGAUAAACUUUCUCCCCGUCAACUGCCAUAACCGACUAAAAUAAUCGGGUCACGGUUGUGUUUGAGUAACAAGUGCAUAUGUGGAGCUAGGAUUCGUCGCUAAACACCCAGAUGGUUACCCAUCCGGAUACUAGCUACG
Long non-coding RNA from Myzus persicae (green peach aphid), 462 nucleotides. RefSeq lists it as uncharacterized. The record is from RefSeq and is a predicted model, not a curated record. The transcript is spliced from 3 exons. Lineage: Eukaryota; Metazoa; Arthropoda; Insecta; Hemiptera; Aphididae.